AGGACCCAAAACUGGCUUCGUCGUCCUGCUUCGAGACACCGUCGACCGCCGCCGUCACACCCACCAGCUCCAGCCUGCUCCGGCGCCGGCCACCGCACCCGCCGCGACAGCCACCUCACCGGAGCCAAGAUCCCGCCUGCGGCCCUGACCCCUCCCCGAGACACCGCCGACCGCCGCUUCUCGCCGACACCGCCGACCGCCGCCGCCACUUCGCCCUAUCCAGCUCUCUCCGUCGUGCCCUUCGCCGGCGACGAUCUCUCACCAGUCACAAGAUGCUACUCAAGGUUAUUGGUCGAUCUUGUCAGUCAGAAGAGGAUGAUUGUACCAAACCCAGCCAUGGCCUGGAGUGCCACUCCACUCCUCAUCCAUAUGUGUUACUGCAUCCCCGUUCUUCUUUUUUUUUCUGUUUCAAUCUCACCUGCAUUGCUGGAUGGAAUGGACAGCAUACAACCACCACCAGGAACAUGGAACAUCAAAGAACACGCGUCCUUGUUCUGCUGAUCAGCUAUUACUUAUAUCUACUUCAGUACUACAGAUAGACAUUUUUCAGUAUUUUGAACCUUGUGAACUGAAACUCUGUAAAGAUUGUGAAUUGAAUUUAAGCUGACAUGGCAGUUUCUUAGUUCA
Molecule: long non-coding RNA, 627 nt
Organism: Panicum virgatum (switchgrass)
Lineage: Eukaryota; Viridiplantae; Streptophyta; Magnoliopsida; Poales; Poaceae
Exons: 2
Source: RefSeq, a predicted model, not a curated record